GUGAAAAGCCCGCUCGCCGUAAGCCCAAGGUUUCCUGCUCUACGUUCAUCGGAGCAGGGUGAGUCGGCCCCUAAGGCCAGGCUGAGAAGCGUAGUCGAUGGGAAGCAGAUUAAUAUUUCUGCACCAUGUGCAAGUGCGAUGGGGGGACGGAGUGCGAAAGAUCAUCCGGGUGUUGGAUGUCCCGGUUUGUGAGUGUAGAAGGCCGACAGGCAAAUCCGUCGGCGGAUCUUCGAGACAAAGCAUCGAGGUUCUACGGAACCGAAGUGAUCGGAAGUGCUUCCAGGAAAAGCCUCUAAGCUUCAGCUUGUACAUGACCGUACCGUAAACCGACACUGGUGGGCGAGUUGAAUAUACUCAGGCGCUUGAGAGAACUCGGGAGAAGGAACUCGGCAAAUUGACACCGUAACUUCGGGAUAAGGUGUGCCUUUGUAGCGUGAAGAGAGAAACACUCGGAGCGUGAAGAGGCCUCAGAGAAUCGGUGGCUGCAACUGUUUAUUAAAAACACAGCACUCUGCAAAGACGAAAGUCGACGUAUAGGGUGUGAUGCCUGCCCGGUGCUGGAAGAUUAAGUGAUGGGGUGAGAGCUCCUGAUCGAAGUCCCAGUAAACGGCGGCCGUAACUAUAACGGUCCUAAGGUAGCGAAAUUCCUUGUCGGGUAAGUUCCGACCUGCACGAAUGGCAUAAUGAUGGCCACACUGUCUCCUCCCGAGACUCAGUGAAGUUGAAGUGUUUGUGAUGAUGCAAUCUCCCCGCGGCUAGACGGAAAGACCCCAUGAACCUUUACUGUAGCUUUGCAUUGGACUUUGAACCGAUUUGUGUAGGAUAGGCGGGAGGCAGAGAAAGCGCAACGCCAGUUGUGCCGGAGCCGACGUUGAAAUACCGCCCUGAUUUGUUUGAGGUUCUAACCGCGACCCGUGAGCCGGGUCCGGGACCGUGCAUGGCAGGCAGUUUGACUGGGGCGGUCUCCUCCUAAAGGGUAACGGAGGAGUACAAAGGUACGCUAGGUACGGUCGGAAAUCGUGCUGAUAGUGCAAAGGCAAAAGCGUGCUUGACUGCGAGACCGACAAGUCGAGCAGAUGCGAAAGCAGGUCUUAGUGAUCCGGUGGCUCUGUAUGGAAGGGCCAUCGCUCAACGGAUAAAAGGUACUCUGGGGAUAACAGGCUGAUACCGCCCAAGAGUUCAUAUCGACGGCGGUGUUUGGCACCUCGAUGUCGGCUCAUCUCAUCCUGGGGCUGUAGCCGGUCCCAAGGGUAUGGCUGUUCGCCAUUUAAAGAGGUACGUGAGCUGGGUUUAAAACGUCGUGAGACAGUUUGGUCCCUAUCUGCCGUGGGCGCUGGAAGAUUGACGGGGGCUGCUCCUAGUACGAGAGGACCGGAGUGGACGCACCUCUGGUGUACCGGUUGUCACGCCAGUGGCAUCGCCGGGUAGCUAUGUGCGGAAGAGAUAACCGCUGAAAGCAUCUAAGCGGGAAACUUGCCUGAAGAUAAGUCUUCCCGGAGGCUAGACCUCCCUGAAGAGUCGUUCGAGACCAGGACGUUGAUAGGUCGGGUGUGUAAGCGUUGUGAGACGUUUAGCUAACCGAUACUAAUUGCUCGUGAGGCUUGAUCCU
RNAcentral lists this ribosomal RNA (1609 nucleotides) under human gut metagenome. Its description in RNAcentral is "bacterial LSU rRNA". It matches the Rfam family "Bacterial large subunit ribosomal RNA", at positions 1321 to 2925 of the family's 2925-position model. The record is from RNAcentral.